GCCCUCAAACCUUACACCCUUUUUUUUCCAGCCGUAACAUAUCAUUGCCUUUUCUUCUCCAUGGCUUCUCAUCUUCAUCAAAAAACAACUUCUUAAUAGCUGGUUCCACUCAUCUCGAUUUUCACCAGAAAAAGAGAUCUACACUUUUCUUUGUUUUCACUCAAAAAGGAUAUGACCCGGCUUAGUUUAACAACUCGAAAACGUAAGAAAAGAAGACAAACAUUGAUUUUAGUUUGGUGGAACCAAGUGAAUAUAAUUAUUUGUUGGUUUAUUGUAUGUCUUUACAUGUUGGUUAUCAAAUACCAGAAUAGAAAGCCAUGUGUUCAAGUUGAAGAAGUUUCAAGUGUUCCUAAUAAGAAAAGGAAGAGCACAUCUCAAACAAGUUCGGUGGUUGAACUUGAAAGUUUCACCGAUGCGGUUAUGUUUUUUGGUGAACGUCUCAAAGAAUCAUCGCUGAAUUAAGUGAAGAUAUAAAACUUGAUGUUCAGCUAAAUAAGAAAGAGGAUAUGAUACCUUCAGAGCUUAAAAAAAUGAAAUCAUUGUCUCAAUUGGACAGGUUUAAUGCAAUUCGAAAAUUGAAAAGUGAUCUUGACAAUGUUGCUACUUUUUGGGAUUUGAAAGAAGAUGAAUGGGAGGAUUGGGUGCGAUUUGUGAUGUCGGAUAGUUAAGUGAAUGACUAACGUAGCUGUAGCUUUUGAUCGACCUCAUAGUUUAAAAGUUUCUCGUACUUAUUUUGAAGCUUGAUGUUGUAAGUUAAUGACAUCUGACAUCCUAGUUUGUUGUAUUUGUGAUGUGGGAAAGUUAAUCACUUGUAUUUUGAAGCUUGAUUCUGUAAGUUAAUGACAUCCUAGCUUGAUGUUGGAACAAUUUCUAUGGCUUUUUCGUACUUA
Molecule: long non-coding RNA, 890 nt
Organism: Erigeron canadensis
Lineage: Eukaryota; Viridiplantae; Streptophyta; Magnoliopsida; Asterales; Asteraceae
Exons: 2
Source: RefSeq, a predicted model, not a curated record